RNAcentral lists this long non-coding RNA (250 nucleotides) under Capsella rubella. RNAcentral describes it as "long non-coding RNA (CRUB_LNC001866)". Lineage: Eukaryota; Viridiplantae; Streptophyta; Magnoliopsida; Brassicales; Brassicaceae. The record is from RNAcentral.
AAAUUUUUGUUUUGUUUUAGUUAUAUUCUAAUUUUUCGUUGUUUUUUUGUUUUGCAUUGUUUGUUUUGUUGGCUUUUUACUGUUGUUAUGUAUUGUUAUUCUAUUUUUCUUAUCGAUUAUUUUUUCAAUUUUAUAGUAAUUUAGUAUUUGAAAUAUUUAUCGUCGUUUAUUAUUCGUCAGAGGUCGAUGGAAAGUUUAUGCGGUAUUCUCUCUUUUUACUAAGUAUUCCGGUCAAUGAUUUUGAAAUCGG